Molecule: transfer RNA, 71 nt
Filed under: Polypterus teugelsi
Lineage: Eukaryota; Metazoa; Chordata; Cladistia; Polypteriformes; Polypteridae
Description: tRNA-Gln
Rfam family: tRNA
About the family: Transfer RNA (tRNA) molecules are approximately 80 nucleotides in length. Their secondary structure includes four short double-helical elements and three loops (D, anti-codon, and T loops).
Source: RNAcentral
UAGGAGGUGGUGUAAUGGGAGCACUGAAAGUUUUGAUCUUUCUGGUGGAGGUUCAAGUCCUUCUCUCCUAG